UGGGGAAUAUUGCACAAUGGGCGCAAGCCUGAUGCAGCCAUGCCGCGUGCAUGAAGAAGGCCUUCGGGUUGUAAAGUACUUUCAGCGGGGAGGAAGGCGAUAAGGUUAAUAACCUUGUCGAUUGACGUUACCCGCAGAAGAAGCACCGGCUAACUCCGUGCCAGCAGCCGCGGUAAUACGGAGGGUGCAAGCGUUAAUCGGAAUUACUGGGCGUAAAGCGCACGCAGGCGGUCUGUCAAGUCGGAUGUGAAAUCCCCGGGCUCAACCUGGGAACUGCAUUCGAAACUGGCAGGCUAGAGUCUUGUAGAGGGGGGUAGAAUUCCAGGUGUAGCGGUGAAAUGCGUAGAGAUCUGGAGGAAUACCGGUGGCGAAGGCGGCCCCCUGGACAAAGACUGACGCUCAGGUGCGAAAGCGUGGGGAGCAAACA
This 427-nucleotide ribosomal RNA is filed under the name uncultured bacterium. RNAcentral's name for it is "partial 16S ribosomal RNA". It matches the Rfam family "Bacterial small subunit ribosomal RNA", at positions 355 to 774 of the family's 1533-position model. The record is from RNAcentral.